AAUAAAGUGCCUGACUAAAAGGAUUAUUUUGAUAGAAUAAAUCAUGUACCAAAUUACCUUUAUUA
This 65-nucleotide transfer RNA is filed under the name Cucujoidea sp. 34 KM-2017. RNAcentral describes it as "tRNA-Ile". The record is from RNAcentral. Lineage: Eukaryota; Metazoa; Arthropoda; Insecta; Coleoptera.